GCGGAUGUGGCGGAAUUGGCAGACGCGCUAGAUUCAGGUUCUAGUAGUCGCAAGGCUGUGGGGGUUCGAAUCCCUUCAUCCGCA
This 84-nucleotide transfer RNA is filed under the name Thermotalea metallivorans. It matches the Rfam family "tRNA". Rfam says of the family: Transfer RNA (tRNA) molecules are approximately 80 nucleotides in length. The record is from Rfam by way of RNAcentral. Lineage: Bacteria; Bacillati; Bacillota; Clostridia; Peptostreptococcales; Thermotaleaceae.